CCUACGGGAGGCAGCAGUGGGGAAUUUUGGACAAUGGGGGCAACCCUGAUCCAGCAAUGCCGCGUGAGUGAAGAAGGCCUUCGGGUUGUAAAGCUCUUUUGUCAGGGAAGAAACGGUGAUCUCUAAUACAGAUUACUAAUGACGGUACCUGAAGAAUAAGCACCGGCUAACUACGUGCCAGCAGCCGCGGUAAUACGUAGGGUGCAAGCGUUAAUCGGAAUUACUGGGCGUAAAGCGUGCGCAGGCGGUUAUAUAAGUCAGAUGUGAAAUCCCCGGGCUCAACCUGGGAACUGCAUUUGAGACUGUAUGGCUAGAGUGUGUCAGAGGGGGGUAGAAUUCCACGUGUAGCAGUGAAAUGCGUAGAUAUGUGGAGGAAUACCGAUGGCGAAGGCAGCCCCCUGGGAUAACACUGACGCUCAUGCACGAAAGCGUGGGGAGCAAACAGGAUUAGAUACCCUGGUAGUCCACGCCCUAAACGAUGUCUACUAGUUGUCGGGUCUUAAUUGACUUGGUAACGCAGCUAACGCGUGAGGUAGACCGCCUGGGGGUGGUACGGUCGCGAAGUAAGUUAAACGUUAACGUAAGAAGUUAGUUAGCGNGAGAGAGCGACGACGACGACGACGGAGGAGGAG
RNAcentral lists this ribosomal RNA (632 nucleotides) under uncultured bacterium. RNAcentral's name for it is "bacterial SSU rRNA". The stretch from base 1 to 542 matches the Rfam family "Bacterial small subunit ribosomal RNA", at positions 338 to 873 of the family's 1533-position model. The record is from RNAcentral.